Molecule: ribosomal RNA, 568 nt
Filed under: uncultured Candidatus Poseidoniales archaeon
Lineage: Archaea; Methanobacteriati; Thermoplasmatota; Candidatus Poseidoniia; Candidatus Poseidoniales
Description: bacterial SSU rRNA
Rfam family: Archaeal small subunit ribosomal RNA
Source: RNAcentral
AAUGCGAGCAAUCGUGACCAGGGAACUCCAAGUGGCUGGGGUAAUACCCAGUUUUUUCUUGACUCUUCAAAGGUCUUGGAAUAAGGGGUGGGUAAGGACGGUGCCAGCCGCCGCGGUAAUACCGGCGCCUCAAGUGGUAGUCGCUUUUAUUGGGCCUAAAACGUCCGUAGCCGGUCUGGUGCAUUCGUGGGUAAAUCAACCCGCUCAACGGGUUGAAUUCUGCGAGCACGGCCAGACUUGGGACCGGGAGAGGUGUGGGGUACUCUCAGGGUAGGGGUAAAAUCCUGUCAUCCUGAGAGGACCACCUGUUGCGAAGGCGCCACACUAGAACGGAUUCGACGGUCAGGGACGAAACCUAGGGGCACGAACCGGAUUAGAUACCCGGGUAGUCCUAGGUGUAAACGCUGUGGACUUGAUGUUGGGGGUGCUCCGAGCACUCUCAGUGUCGAAGCGAAGGUGAUAAGUCCACUGCCUGGGGAGUACGGUCGCAAGGCUGAAACUUAAAGGAAUUGGCGGGGGAGCACUGCAACCUGAGGAUUGUGCGGUUUAAUUGGACUCAACGCCGGGA